UACCAGGUGCAUGCUUCUGAGGCCAGAAAUGGGAAUCACGUCCCUGCAACUAGAGAGAUGGAUGGUUCUGAGCCACCAUGUGGGUGCUGGGUUGUGAACCUGGGUCCUCUCUAAGAACAGCAAGUGCUCUUAACCACUGAGCUGUCUCUUCUUAGCUGCAUUUGUCAGGGAUGUUUUAUUACCAGGAGAGUGGGAUGUGUGUGUCACAUCUUAUGAAAUGCUCAUUAAAGAGAAGUCUGUGUUCAAAAAGUUUAACUGGAGAUACUUAGUUAUAGAUGAAGCUCACAGGAUAAAAAAUGAAAAAUCUAAGUUGUCAGAAAUAGUGAGGGAAUUCAAGACUACAAAUCGACUGUUGCUAACUGGGACGCCUCUUCAGAACAACUUGCACGAGCUCUGGUCACUUCUAAAUUUUCUCUUACCAGACGUGUUUAAUUCAGCUGAUGACUUUGAUUCCUGGUUCGAUACAAAUAAUUGCCUUGGGGAUCAAAAGCUUGUUGAGAGGCUUCAUAUGGUAUGUAUGGCUAGAGCAUAUUUUUCAAUGGUGAAAAAAUAUGUAAAUCACUUAUUUUACUGCUUACAGGAGUAUAAUACAGAAUUAUUUGAAUUUAAAAUUUACUGUUUGAAAUGACAUUAGGGAGAUGACGUGUGAUGGUUUUAGUGUUAGAGUCUACUUUUAAUGUCAUGUAGAAGAAAGGAAUCUCUUAAUGCACAGGUAAGGGCACUUUUGGCUAUCAGGACCAAACAAGACAUUGUGACCAUAACCUACAAGUCCCUUCAUGACAUAACAUUAGGGCUUUUCAACAUCUGUUGACAUUUUGGUUUGGAUAAUAUAUAAGGGUUAGGAGAAGAGAAGGCUGUGCUGUGUGCUGUAUAUAAUUUAACAACAUCCCUAACAUUUUGUCCUUGCUGCCAUUUGUGACAAGCAUACCUGUAAAUAUGAAAAAAGUUCCCCAGCAGAUAAACUUACACCCUGCUCACCUCUCCCUACAUCCCAAUCUUUUCAGAACACUCCAGCUUUAAUUUUACUUUUACAUAAAUUUUCUGGAAACAUUUGACUAAUUCCACUUAUUCUUUCAUCAUUGUUUUUAUUGUAUUUAGAAUUUCUGAUUUCUUUUUACAUGGCCUAAGACUUGUAUCUGCCACCUUCUUUAUUGACUAUCUAGACUGAGGCUGGACUGGGUACUUUGUGUGUUCAUUCCAUCUUUAGUCAUUUGAGCAUUCUAGCAUUAUAAGUGUUUACCCUGAUGGAGUGUAAGCACAGAGGCAAGAAACAUGGUUGUUAUAUACUUUGUACAGUACCUGGUUUCAGUGGCUAUUUUUCUUCUUUCUAUCUUCUCUUUCUCCUGUUCUCCUCCCCUUUUCCCUGUUCUGUUGUGUCGAGACAUGAUCUUGUUAGCAGCCAUGGCUUUAUUGGUAAAAUAGAACAACAGAGACUUCAUUAAAAAGACAGCAUUUGGCUCCUGACAUGGAGGCAGUUGAGGCAGCGGCAGAGGCAGCGGCAGCAAAGGAGGUGGCAGCAGCAGAACUCAAAGGCUUGCCUGGGCCUAGGCCUCAUCAGCGAGGGGUGGCAGGCUCAGGUCAGCCACUAUGCAGCUGAUAAAAUAACAACCUUGUCUCAUGGAAGGGAGGGAGGGACGGAGGGAGAAAGAGAGACGAAAGAAAGAAGAAGGAAGGAAGGAAGGGAGAAGGGAAGGAGGGAGGGAGGAAGGGAGGAAGUCCAAAGAGCAGUCAAGCUUCCCUGCCCUGUGGAAAGUCCAAGGUCCUCCCCUCUCCGUCCAUGUUUUGGAAGGUGAACAUCCAAACUGGCUAGGCUCCCACAAAGCCAGAACAUGAAGUGUUAGACUCUAGCGUCCAAACACCAAGAAGGAGUCGCCCCCAGAGACCAUCUCAUAUAUUACAGCCAAUGCAAAAGCAUGAGGAUUGUAGGGAUAAGCCCUCCCCUUGGGGGCGGGCUGCCCUCAGGCGUAUGUUUACUGAUAUAGUGCGCGGGCAGAGGCUGCGCGGGCCCUUCCGCUUGCUCUCCUGUUUCCGCUGGCUACCCCGCUGGAACCUUGGUUUUGUGAGUCUGUUUUGUUAUUAAAUUUGUCUAAAUAUCAAUUACUGGUGAUUUAUUGAUCCGACC
This is a long non-coding RNA of Alexandromys fortis (reed vole), 2122 nucleotides long. RefSeq lists it as uncharacterized. NCBI's taxonomy places the organism in Eukaryota, Metazoa, Chordata, Mammalia, Rodentia, Cricetidae. The record is from RefSeq and is a predicted model, not a curated record. The transcript is spliced from 4 exons.